UGCGCACGACGACGCUAAGCCUAGGAGGGUCGUCUGCACAUUCCGUGUGGACGGCAAGAGAACCAAAAGACCAGUGAUGCCGGGUACAUUGUGAGGCAUACGGUUACGUAGAACGCCGCACACAAUAAUAAUAAAAAAUACAAAAAACAUUCUACCCUGUACAAUUACGACGACAGAACUGGGAGUAACCUUUCAUAGCAAAAAAGAGUUUUGUGCUACUGAUUUUUGUUUUGUAUUGACAGCACAGGCUUCGACAUUGACAAAAAGGCUGCUACAAGCUCACUGACUGAGGUACUGGUCAUAUUUAUGGGGCAGGCGUGGCAGAAACGUUAUUAGGAAGAACCCGAGUUGGAUUCCCAAAGCUGCCUUGACACUGAGCCGCGACACCAGAUGGAUGACAGCCAUAGAAGAUUCCUGCAGGCUAUGAUGCGCAGGGGCAUUGUUGACGAACCAACUGCAAAGCAACUCCAUCAGCAUUGUUGCAGUAUCCAGAACACCGUUUAUGCCCCAGACCAAUUUGAUGACUAUAUUGAUACCAUCAACUCUAAUCUGGAGCCCAUAUUCAUGCAGAUUAGAAAAGGAAUGUGUGAAGACAGCGGUCUGCAACACUAUGCUUUGGUUAACAUGAUUGAAACGGAUGUCACCAGAAUGACGUCUGACUACGCUGAUCAUGAACUGGAGGUUUUCCGGAAAAUAAUGGACCUGGUCAUGGAUUCGGACACUGGCAGGGCCUACUCCACUGAAAUUCUCAAUUCCGCCAUCACCCUGCCCCAAAAAACAAAGAAGACAGAGACAGAACAGCUGCUCAAUCGAUUUGUGCGCGACAAUUGGCUCACUGAGAAAGAGGGCGAAUACUGCUUAUCCACCAGAUGUAUCAUCGAGAUGGAGCAAUACAUUCGCACUAUGUAUCAAGACCUGGUCAAAGUGUGCCGCAUCUGUCGCAACAUUGCCUUCCAGAGCCAAAUGUGUGAGAAUCCAACAUGUGGCAUAAAAAUGCACAACCCAUGCAUGGCCAGAUUCUUCCGAGGAACGACUGAGCCUCGGUGCCCCGCUUGUAAAGACUUUUGGCCGCAUGAGAUCCCUGUUUACAUCAUGCAUAUACAGUGGAGUGGAGUGGGAUAGGGACCGGGCCUGACUGGUACCUCAAAUAUUUACUUCCAACUCGAGAUAAAAAAUCCACCGAGCGACAGCUCGUAUCACGAAAAGCUCAAAUCGAGGAACGUCAGUAAGAAUCCAGCAAAUGAAGACCUCGAGAUCAUGUUUGUUAACAAAGUUGUAUAUGUUUGAAUAAAUCUUAUAACACAAUUGUUACUCAA
RNA transcript from Phyllopteryx taeniolatus (common seadragon), 1316 nucleotides. It is a transcript of the gene named NSE1 homolog, SMC5-SMC6 complex component, with no coding region annotated. NCBI's taxonomy places the organism in Eukaryota, Metazoa, Chordata, Actinopteri, Syngnathiformes, Syngnathidae. The transcript has 10 exons. The record is from RefSeq and is a predicted model, not a curated record.